Molecule: long non-coding RNA, 196 nt
Organism: Puntigrus tetrazona (Sumatra barb)
Lineage: Eukaryota; Metazoa; Chordata; Actinopteri; Cypriniformes; Cyprinidae
Exons: 3
Source: RefSeq, a predicted model, not a curated record
GCCAUUUGAACAAGUGUAGAGGCCCAAGAGAAGAUCAUCAAGACCAAGACAGUCCACAGCGGAGGUUUGAGGCAAGUACGGUGAAGCAGGAGCAACAGGAAGUGGAUGUUUGGAUUGGUCGAGACGACAGUGAAGCAGGAAGCCAGUGUGGCGAAGCCGUGAGCCUAAUCAGGGAUGCUCUCAAAACUGCUUCCCC